GGUCUCUUGGUUAACACACAUGUUCUCAGGAGAUUCUACUGAACUGUGACCCAUGGUCUCAGUCUUGGUUUCAAUUAUUGCAUGGUGUAUUCUGUGGUUUCUUCAAGGGUUUGGAAAUUCUUGGGUUACCCCCCAGGCAGUGGUGUAAAUACCUAUGACCUCCUACUCCUUGGGGUGUGGUUCUGGAGUGUGGUGAGGAAGCCUUGGAUAGGCUGGGAUGGGCUGCCCACAAAAAUAGAACGUGCAGUCAUUUCCCUGCCUUGGGAGUAAGAUUCCAGGUGGAUGGCCAGGCC
RNAcentral lists this long non-coding RNA (293 nucleotides) under Bos taurus (domestic cattle). Its description in RNAcentral is "long non-coding RNA NONBTAT016137". The record is from RNAcentral. Lineage: Eukaryota; Metazoa; Chordata; Mammalia; Artiodactyla; Bovidae.